UAAAUUUGGUUUUGUUCUUCUCGUGUUAUUUUCCUUUACCUCAUCCCUUUUUUUCUUCUGGUCAUCAGUAUGUAGACCACUCUGUUACUCUGAAAGCUUGUGCGGGUCUAAAUGGUUUAAAGUUGGCUGGCAAGGUGCUAACAGUUGUUCAGGCUAUGCCUAAUGCCUCUCCCUUGGAAAAUGAUGGACAACGCGCAAUCCUAUCGGAUUCCAAAUCAUGCAAAGCCACUACUCUGCAAGCCAAGUGAGGUUUUGAAGAUCAAAGAUGUGUUCGCCACGGAAGCUCUCUCUUCUAUGUCUAGUGUGGAAAUUGAAGAAAUUUUGGAGGAUGUACGAUUGGAAUGUGCAAGAUUUGGGACUGUGAGAUCGAUU
Molecule: long non-coding RNA, 372 nt
Organism: Neltuma alba
Lineage: Eukaryota; Viridiplantae; Streptophyta; Magnoliopsida; Fabales; Fabaceae
Exons: 4
Source: RefSeq, a predicted model, not a curated record